Molecule: long non-coding RNA, 755 nt
Organism: Papaver somniferum (opium poppy)
Lineage: Eukaryota; Viridiplantae; Streptophyta; Magnoliopsida; Ranunculales; Papaveraceae
Exons: 2
Source: RefSeq, a predicted model, not a curated record
UGCAUUCGUAGAAUCCUAUAUAUAUAGAGGUCAGGUAGCAUUAUCCUUUUCUUAAUAAUCAAACAAGAAAAAGAAAAACAUAUCAUGGCCAAGAUCAGUAUGUUCCUAAGCUUCUUCUUGUUUGUCUUGAUUGUCAUGCCAACCUCUUCCUCUUCAAGCAGGAUGAUGCUUGAGGAGGUUGAAGCAGUAAAUAAGUGCCCAAAACCUAAUUGCUCUUUCGUUAAGUGCAAACCAUUUUCUUGCGUACAAGUUGUGCUUAAAUGUCCAAAUGGUCAAUACACGCCGUGCUGUAGCUGUCCAAAGUGCUGCCCUGUUUAGAUCGUAAUGUGUAUCUUUUGGUGCACAAAUUGUUUUCUCCUCUUUUUAUGAUGUAGCUUGCUGCCACAUAUUAUGUUUACAUGUUUUUGUUUUCUGUUCUAAGUUUCGGAAAUGAUUAAUCCACUGAGACUAAUCCACCAAAAUCAGCACCGUGUAAAAGGGGUGGAGGGCCCAAUUCUGCCCACACCUAUCCCAAUACAGAAAACGCUGAUCUAUAUCCAUUGGAUUUCUCUCGGUAUAAAUCACGAUACAUUAUUUGGGUGGGUGUAGAAUUGUUGUUUAAGUUUUGCAUAGCCUGCAUAAGUAUUGUAUAAAUGUACGUAUUCUGAUAUUUUCGGUGUUCUAUGGAUGAUGUAAUAAAAUCUAAGUAAAGUAUAUGCAAUUUUCUCAACUUAAAUAAAUGUAAUCAAAUGUAUACGGUUUUCUAUGUUGUUCCC